Long non-coding RNA from Daktulosphaira vitifoliae (grape phylloxera), 1603 nucleotides. RefSeq lists it as uncharacterized. The record is from RefSeq and is a predicted model, not a curated record. Lineage: Eukaryota; Metazoa; Arthropoda; Insecta; Hemiptera; Phylloxeridae. The transcript has 3 exons.
UAAAAUGUUAAUUUUACCUAAAAAAAAAAAAAUUAGUUCGAAACAUUGUGUGCCAGAUGGCUGUAUUGAUGAUUACACUAUAGCACUUGAGAUUAAUACACCAGAUGGCCCAACGCGGCGGCGACGGCGUCGGCGAUGUCGCCGUCAAUUAGAUUAAUUGUUAUUAUACGAGUUAAUAAGCUUGACCGUUAUUCGUAUAGUGAAUAAUAAAUCAAUAUUUUUUUUUUGUAGACAAUAUAUACUAAUGGCGACUUUUCAAGUUUUCUUAUAGCAAAACACAUUCUUAAAUAAACACUACCGCCGCCGCCGCCGACGACGACGACGUAAUCACUGGAACAUAUAUAUUAUAAUGUUUAUAAUAUUAUUAUAAUCUGUAUUAUACUUAUCGAUUAAUGUCUUACAUAUAUAUUUUGUUUGAAUUAUUACUGGUAUCCCUCCCAUUGUUAUAAAUUAUUACCGUAUUUAACAACUGUAAUAAAUUAUUUUUAAUAAAAUAAUAGCUUCGACUGGAAGGAUUGCAUUCUUCAUCCGUCAACGCAUUAGAGACGGCAGACGGUCAUAAUUUUUACAAAGGCAUCUGUUUUAAAUCCUAAUGACAUAUAUGUGUAAACAUUUCACUUUAAUUUUCACGCUAUUUUAAAUAACUAUAUUUUACUAUAAUAAUUAAAACGUAUAUAAAUUAGACAUGCAGACGUAUCAAAUAUACGAUGGAAAACUGAAUUUUUUGUCUUUGCUUAAUACUACUAUAUGCAUGGGUAUGAAUGACGUAGGUGGCCAGUGUUCAUUACAAUCAUUUAUCUAGUAAUAUUUAAAUAUCUUAGUCGUAUACACCUCAUCCUUUAUCACGAAUUAAUUAUCUAAAAGAUAUUUGGAAAGGAGGAAGGGGUGGGGGGCAGCAACAUAACAUUGUAUGUCGACUUCUAAUAGGUUCUCAGUAUUUGUUAAUCUAUUGUGUGCGUAAGAUGGAUUAUUUCAAUGAUAUAUCGGAUAAAUUGAAUUUUCUUGUUGAAAACGAUCCGACGGAUAGAGUUUUCAAACUAGUUAGUAAACUAUUGAAAAAUUAUAGAGAUUUACAAUAUUUUGCGGAACGUCUAGGCGAUAAAGUUAACGGUGUAGGUGGAGACUUUUUACAUUACAAAGGUUGUGAAUUUUCGGAAGUGGGAAAAAAUUCGGACAAUCAUGAAUGUGCAUGCUCAGUUGUGAAGCGAAUAUAUUACGAACUUUUGGAUUCAAUCGAAACAAUUGAAAAGACGACGAAUGCGAACCGCAGCGACAGUAAAGCCUAUUGGACCUUGAGACUUUAAUCACAAUGGCCACACCAAGGUGUAAAUUCAAUAAAAUCAACGACUUGAUCGAUUCAUCAAUGUAUAGAUUGUAUUAAAACAUUGAAAAUUAUCUUCAGUGAUUAUCCACACAUGAAACAUGUUUAUUACUUCUCCAAUCUGGUGGAAUUGGCUACAAACAGAUAAUUUCUAGGAAUUGAUACUUUACCAAAAAUUGACAAGAAAGAUCGUGACUUUUCCAGUCAAAUUCGAAGAUGAUUGAAAUAAAAUAACAAGUUUACAAAACAACUAGUUUUUUAUUAAAAAAAAUUAUAUAUACA